CAACCCUCAAGCCUGGCUUGGUGUUGGGCCCCGCCUGCCCGGCCGGCCCUAAAGACAGUGGCGGCGCCGCCCGGUGCUAAGCGUAGUACAGCUCUCGCUCCAGCGCCUGACGGUGGCCUGCCAGAACCCCAACUCUGU
RNAcentral lists this unclassified non-coding RNA (138 nucleotides) under uncultured Oidiodendron. RNAcentral's name for it is "sequence contains ITS2". The record is from RNAcentral. Lineage: Eukaryota; Fungi; Ascomycota; Leotiomycetes; Myxotrichaceae.